This 1575-nucleotide ribosomal RNA is filed under the name Campylobacter jejuni. RNAcentral's name for it is "partial 23S ribosomal RNA". It matches the Rfam family "Bacterial large subunit ribosomal RNA", at positions 1244 to 2797 of the family's 2925-position model. Lineage: Bacteria; Pseudomonadati; Campylobacterota; Epsilonproteobacteria; Campylobacterales; Campylobacteraceae. The record is from RNAcentral.
UUUGCGUCGAAGGUAUACCGGUAAGGAGUGCUGGAGCGAAUAGAAGUGAGCAUGCAGGCAUGAGUAGCGAUAAUUAAUGUGAGAAUCAUUAACGCCGUAAACCCAAGGUUUCCUACGCGAUGCUCGUCAUCGUAGGGUUAGUCGGGUCCUAAGUCGAGUCCGAAAGGGGUAGACGAUGGCAAAUUGGUUAAUAUUCCAAUACCAACAUUAGUGUGCGAUGGAAGGACGCUUAGGGCUAAGGGGGCUAGCGGAUGGAAGUGCUAGUCUAAGGUCGUAGGAGGUUAUACAGGCAAAUCCGUAUAACAAUACUCCGAGAACUGAAAGGCUUUUUGAAGUCUUCGGAUGGAUAGAAGAACCCCUGAUGCCGUCGAGCCAAGAAAAGUUUCUAAGUUUAGCUAAUGUUGCCCGUACCGUAAACCGACACAGGUGGGUGGGAUGAGUAUUCUAAGGCGCGUGGAAGAACUCUCUUUAAGGAACUCUGCAAAAUAGCACCGUAUCUUCGGUAUAAGGUGUGGUUAGCUUUGUAUUAGGAUUUACUCCGAAAGCAAGGAAACUUACAACAAAGAGUCCCUCCCGACUGUUUACCAAAAACACAGCACUCUGCUAACUCGUAAGAGGAUGUAUAGGGUGUGACGCCUGCCCGGUGCUCGAAGGUUAAUUGAUGGGGUUAGCAUUAGCGAAGCUCUUGAUCGAAGCCCGAGUAAACGGCGGCCGUAACUAUAACGGUCCUAAGGUAGCGAAAUUCCUUGUCGGUUAAAUACCGACCUGCAUGAAUGGCGUAACGAGAUGGGAGCUGUCUCAAAGAGGGAUCCAGUGAAAUUGUAGUGGAGGUGAAAAUUCCUCCUACCCGCGGCAAGACGGAAAGACCCCGUGGACCUUUACUACAGCUUGACACUGCUACUUGGAUAAGAAUGUGCAGGAUAGGUGGGAGGCUUUGAGUAUAUGACGCCAGUUGUAUAUGAGCCAUUGUUGAGAUACCACUCUUUCUUAUUUGGGUAGCUAACCAGCUUGAGUUAUCCUCAAGUGGGACAAUGUCUGGUGGGUAGUUUGACUGGGGCGGUCGCCUCCCAAAUAAUAACGGAGGCUUACAAAGGUUGGCUCAGAACGGUUGGAAAUCGUUCGUAGAGUAUAAAGGUAUAAGCCAGCUUAACUGCAAGACAUACAAGUCAAGCAGAGACGAAAGUCGGUCUUAGUGAUCCGGUGGUUCUGUGUGGAAGGGCCAUCGCUCAAAGGAUAAAAGGUACCCCGGGGAUAACAGGCUGAUCUCCCCCAAGAGCUCACAUCGACGGGGAGGUUUGGCACCUCGAUGUCGGCUCAUCGCAUCCUGGGGCUGGAGCAGGUCCCAAGGGUAUGGCUGUUCGCCAUUUAAAGCGGUACGCGAGCUGGGUUCAGAACGUCGUGAGACAGUUCGGUCCCUAUCUGCCGUGGGCGUAAGAAGAUUGAAGAGAUUUGACCCUAGUACGAGAGGACCGGGUUGAACAAACCACUGGUGUAGCUGUUGUUCUGCCAAGAGCAUCGCAGCGUAGCUAAGUUUGGAAAGGAUAAACGCUGAAAGCAUCUAAGCGUGAAGCCAAC